CGUUUUCCUCUUUAGUUUUCUCAAAUUAACAUGAACUUGAUUUACUAGGAAUAGCUAGUUAUGUCAAUGGGAAGAUGUUAGAAGGAAAAUACAUGAAUAUAUGCUCUUAAAAUGUAGGGAUGGAGAGAACCUUCUUAUUGGGUUUAUGAAUUAUUCCCAAGUGUAAAAAUGCGGAUUGAGUUGAGGCUUUUCUUGCUUUCCACAAAUUUUUGGAGUAAAUGAUAAGAAGAAAGAUCUAUUCUGGUCAUGCCAGAUAGGAAAAUAGAAUAAAUACUGGCUUUAAUUUUGCCAUAUCAUCUUUAUUCCUUUGAUGUAGAAUUCCAUUAACAAUUCAUGGUCAUAUGCUUUCUCAGGGCAGAGUUUCAUGAGUCCCCAGUUGAACAACGUUUUGUUUUCUUACUCCACAUUUGAAGCAAUAACAUGAUUAAUCAUAGUAAAAUUCUUGUAGAUUUUGGGAGGCAUAAAAAUAAAGACUUUAUGUUUACGAUCAUUAAUAUUGUCCAUCAGAGUCUCUUUCAGUAGCACUUUGACUGCCACUGAAGCAAACAAUACAGCCAGGAUUGAAAAUCAUGGUUCUCAUUUUGCAUCAUGCGAUAUUUAGUGGUAACAUGCUUAUAAGUGCUUCAUAUUGAUUGAGAUCAAUGUAAACAAGGUUUGGUUGGAUCAUGUACCCUAGUCAUAUUGUCCUGAUACUAUUUUCUGUUCUAACAAAUGCUGCAAAUCAGAAUCUCAUACUAUAUUAAUAUGAGUGAUCACAGGUUUUCAAAAAACAGAAUGGAUGAAGCAGUAAAUUAUCAGACAAUUUCUUCAAGGAAUCUUGCCAGAUCUAUUCUGUCUGAAGGGGGCUGGUCAAACUUACUGGUUCUAAGCUUUUCUCAAUGCUGAUAGUUUACUUCCAUGCUUUGAGUACUUUAAAUUCCAUACAUGCAAUUUCUUCUCAAAAUUUUCAAGUAAAGAAAAACUUGUGUUAUUUCCACCCUUUUCUGGUUGGGCUGUUCCUUGUUAAUCUUGUUUAAUUUUCGUUUCCAUGUAGUGCACAGAAAAGAAACUUCAGCAGUCUGCAGACCUAGCACUUGUUUUUGUUGGUAGAGAGCUGCUGUCCUCAGAUGUUUCAUCAAGCAAAAAUGCAGACCCAGCUCUUGUGAACUUGCUCAAGGUCUCUUUUACAAGGUCUAAUUUCUCCUUGGCAUUCCCAUAUGUUGCUGCAUCAGAGGAGGAGACAAUAGAGAAUUCUUUGGUUUCAAGUUUGACAGAAACUUGUGGGCAGGACUCAAGAAUCAAUAAUGUUGCUUUUUCAGAGUCAUGCUUAAUAGAGGGCGACAAAUUUCAAAAGCUUGCAGAUGUGCAUGCAGUUCAUGACUAUCUGGUUUCAAAGAUGGAAAAGAGAACAGAUGGGCAAGCAGAUCUGGUUGUAUUCUGCCAUGGAGGCUUGUAUUCUUCAAAAGGACUUGAGCAACCACAAACUGAAAGUGAAACUUUGUCUGAGCUUAUCAGUUCUGUGGACACACUAGGGGCAAAGUACGAAGUACUGUACAUUUCAGAUCCAUUUCGGUCAAUCCAGUAUCCUUCUCAUCGAGAACUGGAAAGAUUUCUUGCUGAAGGUACUGCUGGAAAUGGAUCACUCAAUUCCACAAUUUGUGAUGAAGUUUGCAAGAUCAAAUCAUCUCUUUUGGAGGGAGUUUUAGUUGUAAGUUCCCAUUUUGAUGUUUCAUUUGUUUUUAAUUUGGUAAUGAUAGUGCUUUGUUUGUUGAAUGUCGGCCAUUCUGUAUUGUCAUCAAGUUCUGUAGUCCAUGUUCAUAGGAGAGGGCAUGCUUUUAAUGGCCUGCUAUAUACUAUUUCUCAUGAAGAGUGCUUCUGUUGUCUGUAUAAUGUGCUGUCUUGAGGAAAAAGUUUGUUUUUUUUAUAAGUAACUUGAUUAAGAAAUGUCAGGGGUUUUCAAUCAUAUAAGGUGUACACAAGUGCAAAUCCACCUUAGACUGGGAAAAAACAAUAAAGGGAAACAAAAUAAAGUCAUAGGACCAACUAUUAUAAUUUGUUCGUAUUACUUGUCCUCUGCUAACUGUACUAGAAAUAGAGAUCUCAAAGAAGAAUUCUUAUAUCAUCUCCUAUUUUUGUGUGAUAGAAUACUAGCAAAACUGGCCUAGGCAGUUCUAACAAACUUUCCCCCCUCUCCUUCUCUUUCCAAAUUAAAUUCCCAGUAGCACCAGCAUCCUUGAUUGGUCUUUCCCUUCAUUCUGGAGUCUAGACACUAGUGAAAUGCCAUAUCCACUUAACAAUCAUUGUUUGAUCAAAUAAGAUUGGAAGCCCCUGAUUGGCUUCCUGGAAUAUGCCGAUUUUAGUUAGCAACAAGCCUGCGAAUUUUGAAUUGAAGCCAAGUUUAGUGCCUUAGUUUUGAUGGGUAAAAAUUCCUUUUGACAUCCGAUUACCUAACUGGAUUUUUCUGUUCUUCUCUCAUCUUUUAAUUUAGCUGGUUUACAGUUGCUGUUUCUCCAUGAUUAAUUUUUUUUUCAUUUCUUUAAUGAGAUGAAUGAGCUUUUGCAAGGACUGAAGAGCUUAUUUUAAACUGAAGCAGCACUAAUGUUUUAGGACCUGAUAUCUUCAGGCAUAACUUUCAUGCUUGGCUGGUGAGAAACAAAGAAGGAAAAAGAGAGAGGAAAUUAAAUAAAAGAGAUAAUGAGGAGGGAAAGAAUAAGAAGUGAGACUGGGAACAGGGAAUUGAGAGAAAAUCUAGGAAUAGGAUUCUGUUAUUGUAAUUCAACACACAUGAAUUCUUUACAAUUCACUGGUCUUUUAUAUUGACUAUAGCCCUCAUAACCAAAACUAUUAACUAUAAAAUAGUGUAGUUGUACCAUUCACUAUCUACUAAUGAUUGUUCCCAAGUCCUAACUUUUCCCUCCCCAUGAAGAUCAUCCUUGUCCCCAAGGAUGAACUGAGAAAUACUGAAUUCACUCCUCUCAAUCUCAACACCAAGUUUCUUACAUGGUGCAGGGUCCAGUAAAUAAUUUUAUUGUUAGUUAAUAUAGAUGCAUUCUUUACAACUCCCUGUUCUUCUUUAUCUACUAUAGCUCUUAUAAGCAGAACUACUAACUAUAGAAUGCUGUAGUUUUACUUGGCACUAACUACUAACAAUUGUUCCUAACAUAAUGAAGAGGCAAGUGCCUUAGCUAUAAGGGGUUAUGUGUUUAUUUUGGUUCUCGGAAGAAAUAAGUAGUUCAGUAAAUUUGCUCUUUGGUUUUUAACAUCAUAUAUGAAAUUUCUCAAUUUGUACAACUAUAAAAUGCUGUAAUUUUACCGUGCAGUAACUACUAAUAAUUGUUCCUAACACAAUGAAGAGGCAAGUGCCUUAGGUAUGAGGGGUUAUAUGUUUAUCUUGGUUCUCAGAAGAAAUAAGUUCAGUAAUUUGCCCUUUGAUUUUUAAUAUCAUGCAUGAAAAUUCUGCAAUUGUCUAUGCUGGAGGUGCCAUCAUGUUCAUCUUCUUGCUUCCCUUCUUCCCAUCUGAUUUUUACAUUAUGCUUUAUAUUUUGAUGCUUUUGUUGUCCUGACAUACCUGUUUCUGAUGCCCCAGGGGAUCGUUUUGCUUAUCAUUUUAAUAUCAGGCCUUUGCUGUAUGAUGGGCAUUGAUACCCCAACAAAAUUUGAGAUACCCCAAGACUCUUAAUAGGCUUCGGUCAGAUAAUACCUUUGCAUUGUGCACCGAGCCUUCUGUUCGAGGUACUAGUGGAUGAGAUUAGUUAUCUAUAAUCUAAUAUUCAGUUGACACAGAUGUUGCCCUGUGAUUAUAGUCCAUUUGGUAAGGGCAUUAAUUUUGGUAAUAACGAAGCACAGUGUUUAUUUUAUUUUAUUUUUUUUGCGUGGACGUUGUGUGCCAUUGGUAUUUUUGUUGCAUCCUUGGGCAUUGUAAUCAUUUGUUCCUUGAGUAGAUAUUAUGGGGAAAAAAAACUUCAAUUGCAACAAAAAUUUAAGAUCAGGUUCAAUAUGUUGGCCUCCAAUGUUUGAGUAGAAAAUGUAAUAGAAAUGCACAAAGGGGAGUUCCAAAGGGCCUUUCUCAGUUUCUCUUUAGUGCAUCAUUUUACUCUUGUUUUAAGUGCAGGCAAUGUCUUCUGCCUUGCUGAGUUUACGUUUCUGCAUAUGUUUGUUUUCUAGUGCUGUUUGAGACUAGUGGACUUGAGGUGAUAACUUCAAGAUCAAUUUCUUUACCAUAAAG
This 4204-nucleotide unclassified non-coding RNA is filed under the name Hevea brasiliensis (rubber tree). The record is from RNAcentral. Lineage: Eukaryota; Viridiplantae; Streptophyta; Magnoliopsida; Malpighiales; Euphorbiaceae.